RNAcentral lists this ribosomal RNA (340 nucleotides) under Neosisyphus sp. SM-2012. RNAcentral describes it as "partial 16S ribosomal RNA". The record is from RNAcentral. Lineage: Eukaryota; Metazoa; Arthropoda; Insecta; Coleoptera; Scarabaeidae.
AAAGUCUAACCUGCCCAAUGAUAUUUAUAUUAAAUGGCCGCAAUAUUUUGAUUGUGCAAAGGUAGCAUAAUAAUUAGUUUUUUAAUUGAGAACUAGUAUGAAUGGUUGGACGAGAAAAAAACUGUCUCAAUUUAAUUUUACUUAGAAUUUUAUUUUUAAGUUAAAAAGCUUAAAUAUUUUUAAAAGACGAGAAGACCCUAUAGAGUUUUAUAAAUAAUAAUAUUUUAAUUAAUUUUAGUAUUUUACUUAUUAAUUAUAUUAUAUUUAUUUAGUUGGGGUGACUAAAAAAUUUAAUUAACUUUUUUUAUUAUUUAACAUUUAUUUAUGAAUAAUUGAUCCA